This 26-nucleotide non-coding RNA is filed under the name Drosophila erecta. RNAcentral also lists the same sequence under 10 other names. Lineage: Eukaryota; Metazoa; Arthropoda; Insecta; Diptera; Drosophilidae. The record is from RNAcentral.
UCCCUGGUGGUCUAGUGGUUAGGAUU